GACGGAGGGGGCUAGCGUUGUUCGGAAUUACUGGGUGUAAAGGGCGCGUAGGCGGUCGCUUAAGUUAGGCGUUAAAGACCUGGGCUUAACCUGGGGGGUGCGCUUAAUACUGAGCGGCUAGAGGUCGGAAGAGGAAAGUGGAAUUCCUAGUGUAGAGGUAAAAUUCGUAGAUAUUAGGAGGAACACCAGUGGCGAAGGCGGCUUUCUGGUCCGAAACUGACGCUGAGGCGCGAAAGCGUGGGGAUCAAACAGG
This 253-nucleotide ribosomal RNA is filed under the name uncultured bacterium. Its description in RNAcentral is "partial 16S ribosomal RNA". It matches the Rfam family "Bacterial small subunit ribosomal RNA", at positions 524 to 776 of the family's 1533-position model. The record is from RNAcentral.